This 205-nucleotide unclassified non-coding RNA is filed under the name uncultured fungus. Its description in RNAcentral is "sequence contains ITS1". Lineage: Eukaryota; Fungi. The record is from RNAcentral.
UUAACUAUUAUAUAGUACUCAGACAGUAUAGACAAACAGAGUUUAGGUCCUCUGGCAAGCGCUCGCCGGCCGGAGCCAGCAGCCCGAGGGCAGGCCUGCCAAAGCAACAAAGGUGUAAUAAACAAAGGGUGGUAUAGAAGACCCCAGCCCAGAGGGCCGGGGGACUAUAACUUUAAUGAUCCUUCCGCAGGUUCACCUACGGAAA